RNAcentral lists this ribosomal RNA (414 nucleotides) under uncultured microorganism. Its description in RNAcentral is "bacterial SSU rRNA". It matches the Rfam family "Archaeal small subunit ribosomal RNA", at positions 459 to 872 of the family's 1478-position model. The record is from RNAcentral.
CAGCCGCCGCGGUAAUACCGGCGGCCCGAGUGGCGGCCACUAUUAUUGGGCUUAAAGCGUCCGUAGCCGGGUUGGUUAGUCUCCCGGGAAAUCUGGCCGCUUAACGGUCAGAAUUCCGGGAGAUACUGCCAGCCUAGGGACCGGGAGAGGCCGAGGGUAUUCCCGGAGUAGGGGUGAAAUCCUAUAAUCCCGGGAGGACCACCUGGGGCGAAGGCGCUCGGCUGGAACGGGUCCGACGGUGAGGGACGAAGGCCAGGGGAGCAAACCGGAUUAGAUACCCGGGUAGUCCUGGCUGUAAACGAUGCGGACUUUGUGUCGGACAAGCUAUGAGCUUGUCCGGUGCCGGAGGGAAACCGUUAAGUCCGCCGCCUGGGGAGUACGGCCGCAAGGCUGAAACUUAAAGGAAUUGGCGGG